ACGCUGGCGGCACGCCUAACACAUGCAAGUCGAACGAAGUAGCAAUACUUAGUGGCAGACGGGUGAGUAACAUGUGGGUAUCUGCCCUUUGGCCUGGAAUAACACGAGGAAACUUGUGCUAAUACCGGAUAAGUCUUUACGGAGAAAGCUUUAUGCACCAAUGGAUGAGCCCGCACUUGAUUAGUUUGUUGGUGGGGUAAUGGCCUACCAAGACUGUGAUCAAUAGCUGAUUUGAGAGGAUGAUCAGCCACAUUGGGACUGAGACACGGCCCAAACUCCUACGGGAGGCAGCAGUGGGGAAUCUUGCACAAUGGAGGAAACUCUGAUGCAGCGAUGCCGCGUGAGUGAAGAAGGCCCUUGGGUUGUAAAGCUCUUUCGUCGGGGAAGAAAAUGACUGUACCCGAAUAAGAAGGUCCGGCUAACUUCGUGCCAGCAGCCGCGGUAAUACGAAGGGACCUAGCGUAGUUCGGAAUUACUGGGCUUAAAGAGUUCGUAGGUGGUUGAAAAAGUUGGUGGUGAAAUCCCAGAGCUUAACUCUGGAACUGCCAUCAAAACUUUUCAGCUAGAGUAUGAUAGAGGAAAGCAGAAUUUCUAGUGUAGAGGUGAAAUUCGUAGAUAUUAGAAAGAAUACCGAUUGCGAAGGCAGCUUUCUGGAUCAUUACUGACACUGAGGAACGAAAGCAUGGGUAGCGAAGAGGAUUAGAUACCCUCGUAGUCCAUGCCGUAAACGAUGUGUGUUAGACGUUGGAAAUUUAUUUUCAGUGUCGCAGCGAAAGCGAUAAACACACCGCCUGGGGAGUACGACCGCAAGGUUAAAACUCAAAUGAAUUGACGGGGACCCGCACAAGUAGUGGAGCAUGUGGUUUAAUUCGAAGAUACGCGCAGAACCUUACCAACACUUGACAUGUUCGUCGCGACUUUAAGAGAUUAAAGUUUUCGGUUCGACCGGACGAAACACAGGUGCUGCAUGGCUGUCGUCAGCUCGUGUCGUGAGAUGUUGGGUUAAGUCCCGCAACGAGCGCAACCCUCACUUUUAGUUGCCAUCAUUAAGUUGGGCACUCUGAAAGAACUGCCAGUGAUAAGCUGGAGGAAGGUGGGGAUGACGUCAAGUCCUCAUGGCCCUUACGUGUUGGGCUACACACGUGCUACAAUGGUAUCUACAACAGGAAGCAAGACUGCGAAGUUAAGCAAAUCCCUAAAAGAUACCUCAGUUCGGAUUGCACUCUGCAACUCGAGUGCAUGAAGCUGGAAUUACUAGUAAUCGUGGAUCAGCGUGCCACGGUGAAUGCGUUCCCGGGUCUUGUACACACCGCCCGUC
RNAcentral lists this ribosomal RNA (1318 nucleotides) under uncultured Alphaproteobacteria bacterium. Its description in RNAcentral is "uncultured alpha proteobacterium 16S ribosomal RNA". It matches the Rfam family "Bacterial small subunit ribosomal RNA", at positions 33 to 1398 of the family's 1533-position model. The record is from RNAcentral. Lineage: Bacteria; Pseudomonadati; Pseudomonadota; Alphaproteobacteria.